GACGAACGCUGGCGGCGUGCUUAACACAUGCAAGUCGUACGGUAAGGCCCUUUCGGGGGUACACGAGUGGCGAACGGGUGAGUAACACGUGAGUAACCUGCCCACAACUUUGGGAUAACGCUAGGAAACUGGUGCUAAUACUGGAUAUGUGCUCCUGCUGCAUGGGGGGGGUUGGAAAGCUCCGGCGGUUGUGGAUGGACUCGCGGCCUAUCAGCUUGUUGGUGGGGUAGUGGCCUACCAAGGCGGCGACGGGUAGCCGGCCUGAGAGGGUGACCGGCCAUAUUGGGACUGAGAUACGGCCCAGACUCCUACGGGAGGCAGAAGUGGGGAAUAUUGAACAAUGGGCGCAAGCCUGAUGCAGCAACGCCGCGUGCGGGAUGACGGCCUUCGGGUUGUAAAACGAAUUCAGCAGGGACGAAGCUUUUUGUGACGGUACCUGCAGAAGAAGCACCGGCUAACUACGUG
Molecule: ribosomal RNA, 465 nt
Filed under: uncultured bacterium
Lineage: Bacteria
Description: partial 16S ribosomal RNA
Rfam family: Bacterial small subunit ribosomal RNA
Source: RNAcentral